Marmota monax (woodchuck) is the source of this 6729-nucleotide long non-coding RNA. RefSeq lists it as uncharacterized. The transcript has 2 exons. Lineage: Eukaryota; Metazoa; Chordata; Mammalia; Rodentia; Sciuridae. The record is from RefSeq and is a predicted model, not a curated record.
CGCGCCGCCUGGCCCGGAUGGGUGGGCGGCGCUCGGCUUCCUGGGCCGCGCGCCCCGGCUGCCUCCUCCCGCCGACUCCGCCCCCGGCCCCCAGGUCACUCCUCUCUCCAAGUUGUCGUCCCGCUCUCCCCGGGCUUCCGGGCCCCCCACGACCCUCGCUCGGCCGCCCCGCGAGUGUCCCGCCGGCCGGCCGCCCGCGGUCCCCAGGUCGUGCGCCCGGCUCCUCCCCGCCCGCCUGGCCCCGCCCGUGGCGGGAAGCAGCUCUGCCCAGCGCCUACUGUCUGUGGUGGGAGCACCUUGGCUUCAGACAUCUCCACAUUCCCAGUGCCCAGAACAGGGCCUGGUACCUACAGAGUGCUCACUGGAAACUGGCCGCCCUCCAGUCCCUGAAGGAGGGUCUGGCAGGCCCCAUGGAGGCUGGAGGAACUGAGAUGGAACCCAGCAGCUGCUCCCAGCUGGGAGCCCACCUGAGUGGAAUCCUGGCCCCAGGAUCAAAGGCUCAGGUCUGGGUGAGGGGAUCCCUCCCCACCUCCUUUCCCUCCCAGGAAGGCUUCUGGCCAGGGAUCCUGGGGAGGGUGUGGGGAAGCCCUGGUGAGCCGAGUGCAUAUUGUGGGCCUGGGUUUGGAUGUCGGGGUUCUGGUCCUUCCCUUCCACCUUUCCCGCUAGCCAGAUCCUAGAACUUCCUCGUGGUUCAGUUUUCUUGUCUCUGCAAUGGGCACAACCUGUUGGGCACAGCCUUGGGAAGCUGAAGAUUCCCAGGCUGGCAGCCUGACCUCAGGUGCCAGCUCUCCCACCCUGGGGAAGUCUCUGGACUCCACCAUGCUCCUGCCCUCAGCUAGCUCAACCUCCAGCCCAAACCACAUUGGACUUGGGCUUGUCCAGCUACUCAUCUGGUCUGAAGGUUCCUGAGGGUGAGGCCUGGCUUGGUCUAGGAGGGGACCUGUCCACAUGGACUUAGCUGCAGCUUCUGUGGAAACAGCCAGCAUCGUAUCAGGCCGUCCCCUCUAGCCAGGGAUCCAGGUUCCCCUCUAGCCUGACCCAGGAGACUUCUGGUUCUGACCUGGCCUGGGCUGCUGUACCUCUUGACUGGACGACCGGUGUGUUUUAGGGCCUCUCAUGUCACACGGGGCUGUUGAGUCAUAGAAGGCUGGAAGCCCCAGAGCUUGGGUCUGAAGCUGUCCUUGGAAAGAUGUUGUGAUCAGAUGCGGUUUCCAUCAGUGAAUGCUGGGAUCACAGGGAUUGUGGAAUUUUUAGAAAUUGCAGGUGUGGGAUCUGGGGAUAUGGCUCAGGUGGUAGAGUGUUGGCCUCACAUGCACAAGUCCCUGGGUUCAAUCCCCAGCACCACAAAAACAAAACAAAAAGAAAUGCAGGUGGGGAAAGGCCUCAGAGGUCACCAGCUGACCCCUCCCACGUCCUUUCCUAACCAAGGGGCCUGUGACUUACCUGGCUCUACACCAGGUUGUGUCUCCUCCUGGGGGGAGUCCUGGCACUCAUCUGGCCCAUGCAGAAUCCCUGGGAGCCCAGCAGUGUGUGUAGUCCUGGGAGCCCUGUGGACAUAGUCCACCCAAAUGGCAAGAGAGGACCUGGCAUCAACCACUGUGAGGAUAGAGCUGUAGCGGGUCAUGGAGCUGGUCUGAGGCCAUCUUGCCCAAGAUGGUUCACCCCCUGCCUCGGUGUCCCCAUGGUAAGAUGGACUAUGGGGGCUGGGAGGCUUAAACAGAUUAAUGUGGAAAAUGCUUAGAAAAGUGCCUGGGCCAUUUCUGGUUUCCUUUGUUAUCCAGCCCACCGAAAGCCCCGAGUGGAAGGAGCCCUCACCCCACUCCUCCUAGGUCGCCCUUGAGAUGAGUCUGUUGCCUCCCACAGUCCUUAGCACAUCCUCCAGUGAGCUUUGUCUUUGUCCCCAUUUUACAGAUGAGAUUGCUGCUACUGGCCCAGGGCCCCUUGCUGUCUGAGUGGUAGAGGGCAGAUGUCAGCCCCAAAGCCCACAGUUGCUUUCCUUUCCGUGGUGGCAACGCCUGGAAACUCCAUUAGUACUGGCCCUCGCCCCUGCUUCAACCUGUGGCCACUUGGAGGGGCCCCGCGGUCUUGGCACGGAUUUUCCUGCACCAACAAAUGUGUGACAGAGAGGUGUCUGUGGGGAGGCAGGGUGCAGGCGGGGCAGCGGCUGCUGUGAGGUCGGCAGUGGCGGGGGCAGCAUCCCAUCUGAGACACUUGUACAAAUUGCUAGUUUGUGGUCAGCCUGGCACUGCGCUGUGUGGCCUCUGCCCAGAGCAGCUGGGCACCAGUGUGCUCUCUGGGAUUCUAGAACUCCUUUGCCCUCGCCCCCAGCCAAAGGACUUUCCAGGAACCCUCAGGUGGGGCUGAGGCACAAGGCCUCCCAUCAGUAGCCCCGGGAUAGUGUGUGCCCUUGCCCCCGGCUCCAGAGGACCAAAGUCAGGGCUGACAGAGGCUGGAGGAGCAGGCUCCGGGGCCGGGAGUGCCCUGCGCCUGGUGGCCAGCUCCUCUCUAGACUGUUGGUGCAGACCCCAGGUUCUGCAUGUGUGACCUCCAGAGCUGGCCCAAGCCUCAGUUCCUGUCUUCCCAGGGGAGUUGAGACUUCAUGGAGGGGCUGCAGGUGUGGCCUCGGGCCAGGCUGGCCUCCUGGGUCCUGCGCCCUGGCUAUGAGGCUGCGGAGACUGAGGGAGCGGGGGAGGGCUCCCUGUUGCUCUUGGCAUCUGAACAGGUGAGCAGUAUGCCGUGGUUACCAAAACACUAACUGCUGCCCUGGCCUAACGGUGGCCAGAGUGUGGCUUCCAUGUCGGGAAGUCCCAUGGUCUUGGCAUGGUGGUGGGGGUCACCCUUCAGGAGAAGAGCUGCUUCCCCUGAGCACCCUGCCCAGUCCAACUCCAGGCCUGCCUGAAGCCACACAGGGCCUUCCAGGCGGUGGGGACAAGAGCCCCUCCUCUGGUCAGAACCUGCUGGGACCCUCAGACUGCUAUUAGCCCAUGUCCUGCCCUGCCCCACCCCUAGGGUGCCAGCGUGAGCUGAAGACCGGGCCUGCCUUGCACUGGGGCACCCCAACAAGACUGGCCUGGUGGGCAGCAAUGGGUGGACAAGGACAGGAGGGCAGAGGGUCUGAGGUUGAAGGGAUUCCCUGUCCCUUAACUGCCUGGGUCCUUUGGCUCAGGGACUCUUCUGAAGGGCCUUUAGGCCCAGUGGGUCCCUCCCACCUUUUCAAACAAGAGACCUCAGGGCCAGAAAGGGAAGCACGUCCAGUAGUCACACGGCAGGCCAGCACCAGCACAGCAGCUGGAACCAGCCCCAACUCUAAGCCCACCAUGCUGUCUCCAAGCCAACCUGAAGCCCUUCAGGGACAGUAUGAUUGAGAUGUGACCCUGAGACUCCAGGUGGGCACCUUCCAACUGCGGUUACUUUGGAGGUGUUGGAGCAUUCAGGGAAGGGCAGCAGGAUGAGAUCACACGGCCCUGUUCAGGUGGGACACAGGCACGAGUCACACUGUGGAGAUCUGAUAGGGAAGAGGCCCCAGUGGGGACGUGUCUCCUGUCACCCUGCACCACCAGCGUGGACCUGGCUGUUCUCUGUGGACAGGGCUCAGCAGCCAAGUUCAAACCAGGAAAACACUGGGUUCCACAAAGUAAAACUGGUUUCUUAAAUAAAUGUGGGAUCUCCCAGGUCCUUAGGGAGUGUGUCUGCUGAGAGGUGAUGGCCAGCCUCCCCUUCACGAGAGAACCCCGGCUCAGGAUGGCAGGCGGGGCUGGGGUCUCCUCACCUCGUGGCCUCUGCCUGCUCGGGGUCUGCACCCUGGCCACCCUGGGUGGGGGUAAGCUGCAGCUGGGGAAUGGCCUUCUGCUGGGGUUCCAGGCCCAUCUCUGCACAGACCAUGGGCCUAGGGGAGCUGGGGCUCAGGGUCCCUCCAGGGCGGUGUGGCCCUGUGGGCUGAGCUCAGGAGGAGGAAGUGCUGAGGGCAGUCCCCCCUUCACAUCGGACUCCCCUACAGGCAGCAGCUCCCAGCAGCCCCACCCCCCACCGCUGGGUGGGACGCUCUGGUGGCUCAGCAGCCACAGGCCCCUGAGCAGGGCCUCUUCUGGGCAAGGGGGGAUGGGGGGGACGAUGACACCAUGGCUGACCUCCCAAGAUGGUGACAGAGUUUCACAGGCAGCCCCACCCAGGACCCCUCCUCUCUCCAUCAGCCUCAGUAGGGCCAAGACAGCGGCUGGUCCAGGAACAAGGACGUUUUAUUUUCAUAAAUACUUGCGCCCCCGCCCCCGCCGCCUCCACUGCUGACCGUGGGCAGAUGGGUGGCCAGGCGUGAGGCGCCCCGGGAGGCCCAGCACAGACGAAUUGAGAGCUCCGGGAGCCCUGCCUGGGCCACCCUCCGGCCUCACCCCGGGCUCCCACAGUCCCUCUAGAGACCUCGCAGUGAAGAGAGGCCCCCAGGAGGCAGGGCCUGGGCUGCAGCCACCGGCUACUCCGAAAGAAAAGCAAAGGAGCCAAACCACACAGCAGAGUGCAAACAGUGGGGGCACGGGUGUCCCCCAGUCACUGGGUUCCUAUGAGGAGGCCUGGCUGGUCCCCAGCUCCAGCCUGACCUCCCGUUUAUGGCUGGGCCUUCCCAUAAGGCAUGAGACAGGUGGGGAAGACCCCACCCGGGCUGGGGUCAGGGCUGGGCCCGAUGGCCAGGCUUCUUCCCUUAGACCCAAGUCCUUCCAUGGCUGGGCAGCCCUCCCUGCUCCAGGACCCCACCAGUUUUGGGGGACCCUGGUGGUGCAAACCCAGGCCCAACCUCCCGCUGGGUUUGGCUCAGCAGGUGGGGAGGCAAAGCAGGAGGGGAAGAGUCACCUGGGGCCACAGGGUGGGGGGAGAUGCACCAGGCCAGGGGCACAUGGCCACGGAGAACAGAGGGUGUCCAGGCCACCACAGCCUCUCCCCAGGCUGCACAGCGCUGGCCCCUGUCCUCUCCUCUCCCCAGCCCCUCUGUUCUAGAGGCUGCCCCAGGUCUCAGGCGGGGGGAACUGGUCCACGUCGCCCAUCUCGCUGUAGGUCUGGUCGCCCAUGGUGAAGAUGAGCUUGUAGCGCAGGCGGACCUUCUCCUGGGCAGAUGGCGAAGGCGGAGGGUUAGGGGAGGAGAGGUGGCCCCCGCCCACAGCCCGGCCCGGCUCAGCUGGGCCCUUCACCUUCUGGGGGUUGGCGAGGAGCAGGACCUGAGUGAUGGCUGAGGGGUGGACAACGGGGUUGAACGCCGGCAGCUCCGUCCCUGAGGGGGGCUGCAGCUUCACCUUCAUGACCUGUGGCAGGAGGGCAGACGGCACAGCUAGCCCCGGUCACCUCCCAUGGCCCGAGGAACCAGGCCAGCUCCCCGCUGAGGGACUCUGUCCUUUGGCUCCCUUUUACCCCCAGCAAAGAAGGGAGACCUUGUCCCUGCCUGUCCUCAGGCAGCGGGCUCCCCAGCCCAGCCCUGCAGCGUCACCUUGGGCACCGCUGACUGGAACACGAUGUUGCGGAUGGGCUGGGGGGCAGUGCUGAGCAUGGAUACCACCACCACCAACACGUCAGCUCGGCCAGGCAGCGGGUCGCGGGCAAAGUGGAAGAGGACGCGGAAGCCAUGCUGGUCAUACACGGUCACGGGCAAGAUGCUGCCUGUGGAGAGAAGGGGGGACGAUGGGCUCCCCAGUGAGCGAACCCCUCACCCAGCCUGCCUCCGCCGGGGCAGCAGUGCGCCUGGUCCGCAGACAGGGGCAGGACGCCCCUGCAGCAGAGCCCCUGUGGCUCCCAGCUGGGGCGAAGGGCUGUGCUGAGUUUGGGUCACACACUCACUGUGACCCCGCUACUCCCCUUCUCUGAGCUGUCUUCCUACUGGUAAGACAGGGACAUGGAGGGCGUGAUACCCUGGGUCACAGUGAGCUCAUGGAGACGACCAGGAUGAGAGGACAGCUAGCCCUCGUGUCUGCUUAGGACCUGGUGCUGGGCAGUGGCCUCCAAGUGCUCCUGGGGGACAUGUCCCAGGCUUGGACCUGCAUUUUUAUUACAGUUUGGUUUCAUAAUCUUGGGGCCCAAACCUUUGUAUCCCGACUCCUGCCUUCCUGGGGAGCCGGGCCAGGGUCUGUCUCCCAGGAGCCCCAGCUGCAGGACCUGGGCUCACGCAGCAGCUUUGCAACUGCUCUGGGCUCCAGGAGGAAAGGCCUGCUCAGUGCUCCCCACUGAGGUGGCCAAUGGCAGGGCCCAGGGGGCAGCCACUGACCUGGCCCGGCCUCCCCCUCCCACCCUGCCCCACUCACUGGGUUUGAUGGACUCCAGGGGCACAGUGAUGUUGGCCAGUGAGAGCUCAGUGGGCAGGGGCUGCUGUGGAGGCCCAGGGGGCUCUGGGGACACGGCGUGGAGGAGGCUGGUGGCACUGGGGCUGGGUGAGCUGCUCUUAUUCUGCAGGUCCCGGAGUGUGAGCCGGGGGGCUGGCUGCUGCUUCUCCCUUAUUGGGGAACAGUGUGUUAAAAGUGACUCUUUGGUGGUCAGGAGAUCAGGGGACUAGGAAAGGCUGGGCUUCCUGGCCCAUCCCCACACAUCACUCUCUCUCUGGCCGUCGGUCACCUCGCCAGUAGAAUGGCCAGCUCCUGUUCCCCCGGCACCCCCCCACAACUGCCCACUUUAGCUCUGUGUCCUUCCAGUUGCUGGGGACUUCUGGGGACAUGUGAGUGGGCACAGAUUCUCUCCAUAAACUCCACUCUGGAACCUUCA